UAAGACGAGCCUCACAAACGUUAUUCGGAAUUACUGGGCUUAAAGGGUGCGUAGGCGGCGUAGAAAGUUGGGUGUGAAAUCCCUCAGCUUAACUGAGGAAGGGCGCCCAAAACUACUAUGCUCGAGGGAGAUAGAGGAGUGCGGAACUUAGGGUGGAGCGGUGAAAUGCGUUGAUAUCCUAGGGAACACCGGUGGCGAAAGCGGCACUCUGGAUCUCUUCUGACGCUGAGGCACGAAAGCUAGGGUAGCAAACGGGAUUAGAUACCCCGGUAGUCCUAGCCGUAAACUAUGAGCACUGGAUUGAAGACCCCUCCAUAGGUUUUCAGUCGCAGAGAAAUUGUUUAGUGCUCCGCCUGGGGAGUAUGGUCGCAAGGCUG
Molecule: ribosomal RNA, 377 nt
Filed under: uncultured bacterium
Lineage: Bacteria
Description: bacterial SSU rRNA
Rfam family: Bacterial small subunit ribosomal RNA
Source: RNAcentral